Molecule: long non-coding RNA, 2008 nt
Filed under: Bemisia tabaci
Lineage: Eukaryota; Metazoa; Arthropoda; Insecta; Hemiptera; Aleyrodidae
Description: lncRNA ENSSWEETPG000076
Source: RNAcentral
GAUUUUUAAAGUAGGAAUGCCAGUACGAGCUUUAUACAGCGAGGAUUGUAAUAUUAUGAAGGUGUUGUUCUGAAAGUAUUCAAAGACACCUGCCUCAUAAAAUAUUUAGGUUACAACAAUAAGGAAAUGGUCCCAAAAAAGAAUAUUUGGGAAUCCUAUGGUGAAAAAGCUAUUCAAAACAACUUGAGGAAGCAGCAGCUGAAAUUUUAGUGAGCAUGUUGUCUUUUUUGUUUUUUUUGCGUUUGAACUUGCAAACAAAAAAGGAGUCACCAACUUGCUUACACGUAACAUACAAGUAACUUACAAUGUAUAAUGUAAGCAGUGAGUUUUAUUUUCCAUUCUACUGUACAUUCAGCACUAUGCUAGCCCAGUACGGAGAAUAGUUUGCUGUUGAAGUCAUUAUCGGAAGCAGUUGAGUUGUUUAACCUUUGCUUCCAGAGUACCAAUCUUUCAUCAGACACUAACAGCCAAACUUCUUCUAAAAAUUGUCCAAUAAUCUUGUGCUGCGUUUGAAUUAUUAGCAUUUUUAUGUUCUCAUUAUUUUUUCUCCCCAUUCAUUUGAAAAAUAACUUACUUAUCAGUAACUCAGAGAGCGGGAGAAAAGAUCAAAGGUAAAGUUUGCCUGAUGAUCUGUGGGACUGUCAGUCUCAAUGGCGAUUGUGAGUCACAGAGGACUCUAGUGUGCUGAGUUAGCGGCAUGAAUAUGUACAACCUUUAACAUUAAUUUGUAGCAUUUUCUUUGAAUUUUACAUUAAAAAAUUAAGCUGGAAGUUGAUUUGUCAAAAAUAAAUACCCAUGGCAGUCAGAAAUGGGGAGUUGAAUCAAUAUUUCUCACUGCACAAUUUGGUUUUGAUUUUUCAGGUAACAAGUAAACUGACAGAAACUAGUGAAGAAGAGACUGAUGCUUCUAAUGAAUUUUGAUUCAAGCAAACCGUGUAUCAAUGAGUGCCUUACCAAGAAAGCAUCAUCAACAAAAUCAUGUAACUCACCUCCAUUCGUGCCACGGAACAUGCCCAUGAUCCCUCCACCAAUACCUCCUCACAUCAUGAAUCAAUUCCGCAGAGUGAAUCGGAACUUAUUUCUUCCAUGCUCAUGUCUUGGUAUAUGAGCGGUAUCACACAGGAUGUUAUGUCUGCCUUAAAAUGCAAUGUAUUACCAUCAAUUAGUAGAGGUGUGCAAUUAAGGAUUUUUUAAUUUGAUUACAAUUCGAUCACAAUUAAUGAAAUUAAUCGUGAUUACGAUCAUAAUUGCAAUUAAAAUUGGGAAAAAAGCAAAUAAUCAUCAAAUUUUUGUCAUCUUCAUUUUUUUUACUUUUGUGGCCAAAAACAAAGUUAAAGCGCCUAUGAAUUCUUGAAGAAAUUUUCAUAAAACUUGGAUCACUGAUACUUUUCCUGCAAUAUUUUUUUUCUUGAGGUUGACUCAUUGUUUUUUCUCUACAAUAUUCUGUGUGCCCAAAAUAAAUUAGAAUCUUUCCAGCUUCUUGGCUCAGAGAGAAGAGACAGCACAAGGCAGAAGUUAACGAUAAAAAACUCAUAAAAUUCGCGCCAGGGUAUGUCCGCACACCCGCUGACAGCUUAAUUUUUUUCAUUAUUUUUUUUAUUUUAAUGUACAGUUGAUGUACUGCCAAGGUGUUUAGGUGGUUAAAAAUUUAGAAAUCGGGAAACAGUUUUUUGUAACUGAAAUUUAGUUUUUAUCAAAUCAUAUAGAUCUGUCAACUUUAAAAAUGAUCUUACUUAUCAUUUAAUAUUUAUCACAGGUUAUUGGCAAGGUUAUAAAUCAUCUCAAAAGCAAUUUCAAGGCAAACCGCAAGAGAAGAGGGUAGAUCUUGAACAUCUGAAGAGGCUCAUCGUUCAAAUCCAAAAGAAUUGUCUUAAGUUUCAAAUGUGCCAGGAGGCUCCUCUCCUUUUAAGAUUUACUUGUUCCUCUAAAUCUCUUUCGAAUUUUUCUUGUUUUCUCAAUUUUAAGUUGCAUUUUGUUGGUGUAACAGUUGCAUAUCAGUGAGUAGCUC